Molecule: transfer RNA, 72 nt
Filed under: Bos taurus (domestic cattle)
Lineage: Eukaryota; Metazoa; Chordata; Mammalia; Artiodactyla; Bovidae
Also listed under: 3 other names
Rfam family: tRNA
About the family: Transfer RNA (tRNA) molecules are approximately 80 nucleotides in length. Their secondary structure includes four short double-helical elements and three loops (D, anti-codon, and T loops). Further hydrogen bonds mediate the characteristic L-shaped molecular structure. tRNAs have two regions of fundamental functional importance: the anti-codon, which is responsible for specific mRNA codon recognition, and the 3' end, to which the tRNAs corresponding amino acid is attached (by aminoacyl-tRNA synthetases). tRNAs cope with the degeneracy of the genetic code in two manners: having more than one tRNA (with a specific anti-codon) for a particular amino acid; and 'wobble' base-pairing, i.e. permitting non-standard base-pairing at the 3rd anti-codon position.
Source: Rfam by way of RNAcentral
UCCCUGCUGGCUCAGUGGGUAGAGUGUCUGCCAGCAAUGCAGUAGACCCAGGUUCAAUCCCUGGGUCAGGAA